AGUCACAGCCAUCUCGCUCCCAGCCCCCUUAGCCCCAGUUUUCCAACCGGUCUCCCACUUUCACGUACCCUGAAGGCAGGCAUUUAAAGCAAAAAAGAAAUCUCAAGUCACCUCACAUACGGAAGGAGAGUUUUAAUUUUGGCCAGUGGCACCAAAACGGGCACUUAAAAGUAUAUUUCAUUUUACUUGUGGUAUGUGUAUGUAUUCAGUGGGGCAGAAUUCUGUGUUUUAAAAAAUCGGUCACAUAACCAUUUUGCUGCACAAACGUAUUAUUCCCGGCCUCUUUAUCCUCUUGGUACCAAGUCAGAUAUCUCCUGAAAUAAGCCCAUCAACCACUGCCAACGUUUUUUAAAGUCGUGAACCGGUGAACUACCUUUUUUCCCCCAUUGGAACAUUUUUGUUGUAUUUUAAAAUCUUGUUUCUCUUACUGGAUUAGGUUAACACUCCUUCCUUCUUUGGCAUCCUUGGUAUCUUGCUGUCAUCCUGGGGGAAAAUGCUCAGGUUUUAAGUGUG
RNAcentral lists this long non-coding RNA (513 nucleotides) under Homo sapiens (human). RNAcentral describes it as "non-protein coding lnc-SP9-13:1". Lineage: Eukaryota; Metazoa; Chordata; Mammalia; Primates; Hominidae. The record is from RNAcentral.